GAGUUUGAUCAUGGCUCAGAUUGAAUGCUGGCGGCGUGGCUAAAGCAUGCAAGUCGAGCGAACCCGCAAGGGUGAGCGGCGGACGGGUUAGUAAUACGACCGAACGUACCCUGAGGCGGGGGAUAGGUGUGGGAAACUGCGCGUAAUACCCCAUGAUCUCUCCGGAGCAAGGGUUUACCACCUUGGGAUCGGCGAUCGUCCUAUCAGCUAGUUGGCGGGGUAAAGGCCCACCAAGGCUAUGACGGGUAGCAGGUGUGAGAGCACGACCUGCAACAUCGGGACUGAGACACUGCCCGGACCCCUACGGGAGGCAGCAGUGGGGAAUAUUGCGCAAUGGACGAAAGUCUGACGCAGCGACGCCGCGUGUGGGAUGAAGCUUUUCGGAGUGUAAACCACUGUUGCCCGGGACGAACCUCCCCUUUCGAGGGGACUGACGGUACCGGGUGAGGAAGCACCGGCUAACUCUGUGCCAGCAGCCGCGGUAAUACAGAGGGUGCGAGCGUUGUCCGGAAUCACUGGGCGUAA
RNAcentral lists this ribosomal RNA (525 nucleotides) under uncultured bacterium. RNAcentral's name for it is "bacterial SSU rRNA". It matches the Rfam family "Bacterial small subunit ribosomal RNA", at positions 9 to 563 of the family's 1533-position model. The record is from RNAcentral.